GACGAACGCUGGCGGCGUGCUUAACACAUGCCAGUCGAACGGAAAGGCCCUGCUUUUGUGGGGUGCUCGAGUGGCGAACGGGUGAGUAACACGUGAGUAACCUGCCCUUGACUUUGGGAUAACUUCAGGAAACUGGGGCUAAUACCGGAUAGGAGCUCCUGCUGCAUGGUGGGGGUUGGAAAGUUUCGGCGGUUGGGGAUGGACUCGCGGCUUAUCAGCUUGUUGGUGGGGUAGUGGCUUACCAAGGCUUUGACGGGUAGCCGGCCUGAGAGGGUGACCGGCCACAUUGGGACUGAGAUACGGCCCAGACUCGUACGGGAGGCAGCAGUGGGGAAUAUUGCACAAUGGGCGGAAGCCUGAUGCAGCAACGCCGCGUGCGGGAUGACGGCCUUCGGGUUGUAAACCGCUUUCGCCUGUGACGAAGCGUGAGUGACGGUAAUGGGUGAAGAAGCACCGGCUAACUACGUG
RNAcentral lists this ribosomal RNA (468 nucleotides) under uncultured bacterium. RNAcentral's name for it is "partial 16S ribosomal RNA". It matches the Rfam family "Bacterial small subunit ribosomal RNA", at positions 28 to 507 of the family's 1533-position model. The record is from RNAcentral.